Anolis sagrei ordinatus is the source of this 444-nucleotide non-coding RNA. NCBI's taxonomy places the organism in Eukaryota, Metazoa, Chordata, Lepidosauria, Squamata, Anolidae. The record is from RefSeq and is a predicted model, not a curated record.
CCUCUGGCAACAUGUCCAUAAAUCCAUAAAUCCACAUUUUUUCCUUUUCAGUCUACACAAGGUCCAAAGUGGGUCACCUCCUAUUAUAGGAAGAUAUAUGGCGGCUGUUCCAGUUUCCAUGCGCCGGCAGCCUGGGCAAAAUGAGUCAACUGGGCAAAACUCCAAGACUCUGGCAGCAAGCUUGCAGGUCUGUUUGCUGUGAAGGGCCAACAAAGAUCUCCAGCCUGCUCACAGGACUCCUUGUGAGUAGCUAGCAGCCCAGGCCUCCUCCAGUGGGGUGUGACACAGCAACUGCAAGGAGGUUUCUACUCCACAAAGCUCCAUAUUCUGAGGAUAGGAGAUUGUAUAUUUCAUCCUGUAUUUCAUCCUUUUAAGUGAUGGCUCGCAGAAGUGACUAUACCGAACUGCCAGAUGUAGAAUAUUUUACAUUCAAGCAUGACUACA